This 497-nucleotide ribosomal RNA is filed under the name uncultured bacterium. Its description in RNAcentral is "partial 16S ribosomal RNA". It matches the Rfam family "Bacterial small subunit ribosomal RNA", at positions 28 to 507 of the family's 1533-position model. The record is from RNAcentral.
GAUGAACGCUGGCGGCGUGCCUAAUACAUGCAAGUCGAGCGAACAGAUGAGGAGCUUGCUCCUCUGACGUUAGCGGCGGACGGGUGAGUAACACGUGGAUAACCUACCUAUAAGACUGGGAUAACUUCGGGAAACCGGAGCUAAUACCGGAUAAUAUAUUGAACCGCAUGGUUCAAUAGUGAAAGACGGUUUUGCUGUCACUUAUAGAUGGAUCCGCGCCGCAUUAGCUAGUUGGUAAGGUAACGGCUUACCAAGGCAACGAUGCGUAGCCGACCUGAGAGGGUGAUCGGCCACACUGGAACUGAGACACGGUCCAGACUCCUACGGGAGGCAGCAGUAGGGAAUCUUCCGCAAUGGGCGAAAGCCUGACGGAGCAACGCCGCGUGAGGGAUGAAGGUCUUCGGAUCGUAAAACUCUGUUAUUAGGGAAGAACAAAUGUGUAAGUAACUAUGCACGUCUUGACGGUACCGAAUCAGAAAGCCACGGCUAACUACGUG